This 497-nucleotide ribosomal RNA is filed under the name uncultured bacterium. RNAcentral describes it as "partial 16S ribosomal RNA". It matches the Rfam family "Bacterial small subunit ribosomal RNA", at positions 28 to 507 of the family's 1533-position model. The record is from RNAcentral.
GAUGAACGCUGGCGGCGUGCCUAAUACAUGCAAGUCGAGCGAACAGACGAGGAGCUUGCUCCUCUGACGUUAGCGGCGGACGGGUGAGUAACACGUGGAUAACCUACCUAUAAGACUGGGAUAACUUCGGGAAACCGGAGCUAAUACCGGAGAAUAUAUUGAACCGCAUGGUUCAAUAGUGAAAGACGGUUUUGCUGUCACUUAUAGAUGGAUCCGCGCCGCAUUAGCUAGUUGGUAAGGUAACGGCUUACCAAGGCGACGAUGCGUAGCCGACCUGAGAGGGUGAUCGGCCACACUGGAACUGAGACACGGUCCAGACUCCUACGGGAGGCAGCAGUAGGGAAUCUUCCGCAAUGGGCGCAAGCCUGACGGAGCAACGCCGCGUGAGUGAUGAAGGUCUUCGGAUCGUAAAACUCUGUUAUUAGGAAAGAACAAAUGUGUAAGUAACUAUGCACGUCUUGACGGUACCUAAUCAGAAAGCCACGGCUAACUUCGUG